Molecule: long non-coding RNA, 644 nt
Organism: Daphnia pulicaria
Lineage: Eukaryota; Metazoa; Arthropoda; Branchiopoda; Diplostraca; Daphniidae
Exons: 3
Source: RefSeq, a predicted model, not a curated record
CUUUGUCUGCUAUUGAUGUAAGGGACAAAUUUACGCCUCGUGGAAGUCCUGAAUUGAAUAGACUAAUAAAUCAUUGUUGUGAAUAGAAAAAGAAUAAAAUACUCUGCAUCCGGGAAGUAGAAAUCGUGGGGAUCAUACGUUAUAACUGUCAAGGAGACAGACGUGUGGGAAUUUGAUGGCCAAUUGUGCUCAAGUUUUGAUUUGUAAUUCUAUACAUAGUUUGACCCGUACGAUCCAAACAACAACAUAAGUUUCAUAUCAACAAGACAACAACUACUCAACAUUGCUUUGAUCAUUGAUGGGGACCUGUUACACAUAUUUUGGAUUUCAGCUCUCCACAGUUAUCCUAUUCUCUUCCUGCCCAUGCCAAUGGUUUGAUGUCAAAAUGACUAAUGAAACAUGUGAAUCCAUGUAUAUGUGGAUGUCAUGUGCUGGUGUAUAUAAGUGCAGAGUCAUGUGCACUGAUGUGUCGACGAUGGGAGGUGUUGUACAGUCUCUCAGCUUUCCCAGUGUUGAGUAGUGUCAGCUCGACUCUGGACGUCUGGAGGACUUGGUGAAACAACACCAACAAAACAAAUUGUUAACUAAAGCAGCUGAUUCUUCUUCCUGUUGAUUAUGGAAAAUUGGAAAUCUUUACAAGUUGC